CCUACGGGUGGCAGCAGUGGGGAAUAUUGGACAAUGGGCGAAAGCCUGAUCCAGCCAUGCCGCGUGUGUGAAGAAGGCCUUCGGGUUGUAAAGCACUUUCAGUGGGGAAGAAAGCCUUGGGGCUAAUACCCUCGAGGAAGGACAUCACCCACAGAAGAAGCACCGGCUAACUCCGUGCCAGCAGCCGCGGUAAUACGGAGGGUGCGAGCGUUAAUCGGAAUUACUGGGCGUAAAGCGCGCGUAGGCGGUCUGAUAAGCCGGUUGUGAAAGCCCCGGGCUCAACCUGGGAACGGCAUCCGGAACUGUCAGGCUAGAGUGCAGGAGAGGAAGGUAGAAUUCCCGGUGUAGCGGUGAAAUGCGUAGAGAGCGGGAGGAAUACCAGUGGCGAAGGCGGCCUUCUGGACUGACACUGACGCUGAGGUGCGAAAUCGUGGGUAGCAAACAGGAUUAGAUACCCCAGUAGUC
This 465-nucleotide ribosomal RNA is filed under the name Vreelandella stevensii. RNAcentral's name for it is "partial 16S ribosomal RNA". It matches the Rfam family "Bacterial small subunit ribosomal RNA", at positions 338 to 795 of the family's 1533-position model. Lineage: Bacteria; Pseudomonadati; Pseudomonadota; Gammaproteobacteria; Oceanospirillales; Halomonadaceae. The record is from RNAcentral.